UUUUAUAUUUCUCAGGGGCAAAUUAUUAUUUAUCUCCUUCUAUUUUGAUCAUCAUGGAAUACAAUAUUUAUCUAUCCUAAAGGCAAAUGGAUCCAAAUAUAUUCUAAUUCAAAAAUCGUUAAUCGAAUAAGGACACACACACGCACAAAUUUUCAUCAAAAUCUAAGCUUUUCGAAGCUGGGCCAAGUGGUUUAUUUGAUUUGAUACACAUUUUAUAUCAUCAUCAUUAGCAUCACCAUCAUACUGAACAUAUCAAUGAUUUCAACCAAAAAAAGUUUGAUCCUGAUCAUAUUGACCUCCUUGUUUACCAUGAUGAUCAUGAUUGGCGACAAGGUGUGUUAGUGUGCCAUUUCGGAAAUAUCAAAUAUAUGUACAGGCUAAUAAAUCACGAUAUCGG
Molecule: long non-coding RNA, 397 nt
Organism: Dermatophagoides pteronyssinus (European house dust mite)
Lineage: Eukaryota; Metazoa; Arthropoda; Arachnida; Sarcoptiformes; Pyroglyphidae
Source: RefSeq, a predicted model, not a curated record